Molecule: long non-coding RNA, 1645 nt
Filed under: Schizosaccharomyces pombe (fission yeast)
Lineage: Eukaryota; Fungi; Ascomycota; Schizosaccharomycetes; Schizosaccharomycetales; Schizosaccharomycetaceae
Source: RNAcentral
UCGUAAAUACUAAAGUUAUUGACUUCGUCCUCUUCAAUCGGACGAGCUGAUAAUUUUGAGCUCACAGGUAAAUCUUCUAGAAGAUCAGGUGCCUCUGGGUCAACAAUAGGGCUUUUUUGACUUAAACCAUUAGACUCAGUAGAGUAAACCAAAUCUCCCACAACAGGACGAUCGCCCAAAUUCUUUAUCCGCCAAGAAGCAACUCUGUUCCAAACGUAAGAUUGAUAUGCAUGAGGGUAAAUACUUCUCAAGUGACGGGGAAUUCUCUGGAACGCUCCUAAAUAAUCAGUUUGAUUACCAGAUCGAGACCAUGUUUCCAAAAUGCUGGAUUCAGCUAUCAUCCUUCGAGGAAGAAUGCGAAGAGAAGCUUCAGCAUCAUGAGUGGAAUGCCAUAAAUCAAUUGCUUCUUUGACAGAACCGGUAUGCUCGGGCCUUGGUGAUAAAAUUAGGUCGACAGCGCCUUUCCAGUCUGAUUGUAAAAGACGAACUCCAAUGGUAUGUGUCCCGACAGAACUGGUACCGAAUCUUUGUAAACCAAAAUAGUUAAUAAACCCGUGCUCUUUUAAAGAAUUCAAUGCUUCAACAACCUUCUCUUUAGGCGUAAUAACAUUACGCACUACAAUGUGAAAUUCGUUUCCCUUCAAGUCUCCCAAUCUUAAAUUUGAAUUUUUAUAAGAAUAAUUUCCCAAAAGAAAACCAUAUGUGGAAUUUUUAAGAGAACCAGAGUUUAAUUGUGCGAGUCGAGAUGCUCUAACAUGAUGAAUAGCUACGCGUUGACAGGUUACGCCUCUUCUAUCUUUGGUUCCAGCAAUUGAUAAAGUCCUAGUGGGGACUUUGAGGAGGCGGGCAAUUUUACCAAGACAGUCCAUAGAAUCUCUGUUCUCCUUAUACAAAUGGAAAUGGCAAUAUUCACCACCCAAAGCCUUCCAACUUAAUCGGGGAUCUCUUCGUGAUCUAGGCUGGUUUUUUCUGGUGGUCUUUGACACUGUAAAAGUUCCAUUCCCUUUUGUAGAAGACUCGAGUCCAGAAAAGUUGUUUCGUAUGAAUUGAUGUAAGAUCGUUCGCUGACCUUUAUCCAUAGGAGGAGUAUUUUCGGGAAGAAUUAAUGAGAUGGGAUCAGUUAUUUCACCAACUGAUAGCUUAUGAAGAGAUUGAAUAAAUUCAUUACCAAUUCCCUUAGGUAUGAUACUUUGGAGGUCAUUCGGCAAUAUAGGCAGUGUAGCAGGUUCUUGUUCCUUAAAAGAAGGAGCUUUCUGGUCAUUACUUAUAUCUUGAUUAGAAGAAUCUUUUGCGUCUUCAGUUUCCUUGUCUCCGGUUGCCUUCGAAAGGAUAGGAUCGUGAGCUUCCAUAUCAGUUAAGUGAACUAUAUUUCCAUCUGUAUCAACUUCAAAAACAGCAAAAUCCGUGAAUCUUGCUUUAAUAAUUCCAUCGAUUGAAGGAAGAUUUGGAUUCAAAAACGCAUCAAUUCCUACAUCUGACUCGGUCAUAUAAAACUUCUGACCGCUCAAAUCUGAAGGAGCGUUGGCUUCAUCUUCUAAUCCAUUUCUUUCCAAAUUCCUUGAAGACUCAGAUUGGUCAAUCCGAAUCCUUUUCCUAGGGACAUCCACAUGGUUUUCUUGGGACAUUGCUAAAGCGAAUAUACAAA